CGGGUGAGUAACACGUAUCCAACCUGCCGUCUACUCUUGGACAGCCUUCUGAAAGGAAGAUUAAUACAAGAUGGCAUCAUGAGUUCACAUGUUCACAUGAUUAAAGGUAUUCCGGUAGACGAUGGGGAUGCGUUCCAUUAGAUAGUAGGCGGAGUAACGGCCCACCUAGUCUUCGAUGGAUAGGGGUUCUGAGAGGAAGGUCCCCCACAUUGGAACUGAGACACGGUCCAA
RNAcentral lists this ribosomal RNA (231 nucleotides) under uncultured bacterium. RNAcentral's name for it is "partial 16S ribosomal RNA". It matches the Rfam family "Bacterial small subunit ribosomal RNA", at positions 103 to 334 of the family's 1533-position model. The record is from RNAcentral.